GUGGAGUAUGCUCCAUAUUCCCUCCGCUUGAGGGGAGGCCUGUGUCGAAGCAAUGGUCAGCUGAAGAAAUCCCUGAUUAGAGAUAAACUUGCCUGUAUUAUAAAUGUACUGAUAUCAGAUCGUCUGCAACUUUAGUGUGCUUCUCUCUGUGUUGUGCUGCCACAGUGUAGAAUGUACAGAGGGGACACAACGCACAUCAACAGAGACAAGUCCUGGGCAAGAAAUG
Pectinophora gossypiella (pink bollworm) is the source of this 226-nucleotide long non-coding RNA. RefSeq lists it as uncharacterized. Lineage: Eukaryota; Metazoa; Arthropoda; Insecta; Lepidoptera; Gelechiidae. The record is from RefSeq and is a predicted model, not a curated record. The transcript is spliced from 3 exons.